RNAcentral lists this ribosomal RNA (533 nucleotides) under Stagonospora duoseptata. RNAcentral's name for it is "eukaryotic LSU rRNA". The stretch from base 189 to 342 matches the Rfam family "5.8S ribosomal RNA". Lineage: Eukaryota; Fungi; Ascomycota; Dothideomycetes; Pleosporales; Massarinaceae. The record is from RNAcentral.
UUCCGUAGGUGAACCUGCGGAAGGAUCAUUAAUUACGAAAGCUGUAGCCCCUCCGGGGGCUAUUGCAUCCACCCUUUGUCUACGUGUACCUCUGUUGUUUCCUCGGCAGGCUUGCCUGCCGCCAGGAACCCCCUUUAAACCUUUGUAAUUGCAGUAUUAACAUCUGAUAAUUAUUCUAAAUUUAUUACAACUUUCAACAAUGGAUCUCUUGGUUCUGGCAUCGAUGAAGAACGCAGCGAAAUGCGAAAAGUAGUGUGAAUUGCAGAAUUCCGUGAAUCAUCGAAUCUUUGAACGCACAUUGCGCCCCUCGGUAUUCCGUGGGGCAUGCCUGUUCGAGCGUCAUUUACACCCUCAAGCUCUGCUUGGUGUUGGGCGUCUGUCCUGCUUUAAGUGUGGACUCGCCUCAAAGUCAUUGGCAGCGGUCGUGCCAGCUUCUCACGCAGCACAUUUGCGUUCCUUGAAGCUUGGUGGAUCAGCGUCCAGUAAGCUCUUUUAUGACUUGACCUCGGAUCAGGUAGGGAUACCCGCUGAAC